GACGAACGCUCGCGGCGUGCUUAACACAUGCAAGUCGAACGGAAAGGCCCUGCUUUUGUGGGGUGCUCGAGUGGCGAACGGGUGAGUAACACGUGAGUAACCUGCCCUUGACUUUGGGAUAACUUCAGGAAACUGGGGCUAAUACCGGAUAGGAGCUCCUGCUGCAUGGUGGGGGUUGGAAAGUUUCGGCGGUUGGGGAUGGACUCGCGGCUUAUCAGCUUGUUGGUGGGGUAGUGGCUUACCAAGGCUUUGACGGGUAGCCGGCCUGAGAGGGUGACCGGCCACAUUGGGACUGAGAUACGGCCCAGAGUCCUACGGGAGGCAGCAGUGGGGAAUAUUGCACAAGGGGCGGAAGCCUGAGGCAGCAACGCCGCGUGCGGGAUGACGGCCUUCGGGUUGUAAACCGCUUUCGCCUGUGACGAAGCGUGAGGGACGGUAAGGGGUAAAGAAGCACCGGCUAACUACG
RNAcentral lists this ribosomal RNA (466 nucleotides) under uncultured bacterium. Its description in RNAcentral is "partial 16S ribosomal RNA". It matches the Rfam family "Bacterial small subunit ribosomal RNA", at positions 28 to 505 of the family's 1533-position model. The record is from RNAcentral.